AGAGUUUGAUCCUGGCUCAGAUUGAACGCUGGCGGCAUGCUUUACACAUGCAAGUCGGACGGCAGCACAGAGAAGCUUGCUUCUUGGGUGGCGAGUGGCGAACGGGUGAGUAAUAUAUCGGAACGUACCGAGUAAUGGGGGAUAACUAAUCGAAAGAUUAGCUAAUACCGCAUAUUCUCUGAGGAGGAAAGCAGGGGACCUUCGGGCCUUGCGUUAUUCGAGCGGCCGAUAUCUGAUUAACUAGUUGGUGGGGUAAAGGCCUACCAAGGCGACGAUCAGUGGCGGGUCUGAGAGGAUGAUCCGCCACACUGGGACUGAGACACGGCCCAGACUCCUACGGGAGGCAGCAGUGGGGAAUUUUGGACAAUGGGCGCAAGCCUGAUCCAGCCAUGCCGCGUGUCUGAAGAAGGCCUUCGGGUUGUAAAGGACUUUUGUCAGGGAAGAAAAGGCUGUUGCUAAUAUCGACAGCUGAUGACGGUACCUGAAGAAUAAGCACCGGCUAACUACGUGCCAGCAGCCGCGGUAAUACGUAGGGUGCGAGCGUUAAUCGGAAUUACUGGGCGUAAAGCGAGCGCAGACGGUUACUUAAGCAGGAUGUGAAAUCCCCGGGCUCAACCUGGGAACUGCGUUCUGAACUGGGUGACUAGAGUGUGUCAGAGGGAGGUAGAAUUCCACGUGUAGCAGUGAAAUGCGUAGAGAUGUGGAGGAAUACCGAUGGCGAAGGCAGCCUCCUGGGAUAACACUGACGUUCAUGCUCGAAAGCGUGGGUAGCAAACAGGAUUAGAUACCCUGGUAGUCCACGC
RNAcentral lists this ribosomal RNA (803 nucleotides) under uncultured bacterium. RNAcentral describes it as "bacterial SSU rRNA". It matches the Rfam family "Bacterial small subunit ribosomal RNA", at positions 8 to 800 of the family's 1533-position model. The record is from RNAcentral.